CGCGUAGGUGGUCAGGGAGGUCAGGGGUGAAAUCCCCCGGCUCAACCGGGGAAUUGCCUCUGAAACCGCCUGACUCGAGUGGAACAGGGGAGAGUGGAACUCGCAGUGGAGCGGUGAAAUGCGUAGAUAUUGCGAGGAACGCCGGUGGCGAAAGCGAUUCUCUGGGUUCUUACUGACACUGAGGCGCGAAAGCCAGGGGAGCAAACGGGAUUAGAUACCCCGGUAGUCCUGGCUGUAAACGAUGAACACUAGGUAGAGGAGGUUCCCAUACUUUCUCUGCCGGAGGUAACCUGUUAAGUGUUCCGCCUGGGGAGUACGGCCGCAAGGUUGAA
Molecule: ribosomal RNA, 332 nt
Filed under: uncultured bacterium
Lineage: Bacteria
Description: bacterial SSU rRNA
Rfam family: Bacterial small subunit ribosomal RNA
Source: RNAcentral